CGUCAAAUCAUCAUGCCCCUUAUGACCUGGGCUACACACGUACUACAAUGGCCGGUACAACGGGAAGCGAAGUGGCGACAUGGAGCAAAUCCUUAAAGCCGGCCUCAGUUCGGAUUGGAGUCUGCAACUCGACUCCAUGAAGCCGGAGUCGCUAGUAAUCGCGGAUCAGCAAAGCCGCGGUGAAUACGUUCUCGGGGAUU
Molecule: ribosomal RNA, 200 nt
Filed under: uncultured organism
Description: partial small subunit ribosomal RNA
Rfam family: Bacterial small subunit ribosomal RNA
Source: RNAcentral